UCUCCGUAGGUGAACCUGCGGAGGGAUCAUUACUGAGUGAGGGUCUCCGGGCCCGACCUCCAACCCCAUGUGAACCGAAACCUGUUGCUUCGGGGGCGACCCUGCCUUCGUGCGAGGCGCCCCCGGAGGCCUUCAAACACUGCAUCUUUGCGUCGGAGUUUAAGUAAAUUAAACAAAACUUUCAACAACGGAUCUCUUGGUUCUGGCAUCGAUGAAGAACGCAGC
This 225-nucleotide unclassified non-coding RNA is filed under the name uncultured fungus. RNAcentral's name for it is "sequence contains ITS1, 5.8S rRNA gene". The stretch from base 177 to 225 matches the Rfam family "5.8S ribosomal RNA", at positions 1 to 49 of the family's 154-position model. Lineage: Eukaryota; Fungi. The record is from RNAcentral.